UUCCGGUUGAUCCUGCCGGACCUGACUGCUAUCGGAUUGAUACUAAGCCAUGCUAGUCUUUGUAGUAAUACAAGGCAUACGGCUCAGUAACGCGUAGUCAACCUACCCUAUGGACGGGAAUAAUCUCGGGAAACUGAGCAUAAUACCCGGCAGACCACUUCUCCUGGAAUGGUUAGUGGUUAAAAUGAUUCGUCGCCAUAGGAUGGGACUGCGGCCUAUCAGCUUGUUGGUGAGGUAAUGGCCCACCAAGGCGAUUACAGGUACGGGCUCUGAGAGGAGAGGCCCGGAGAUGGGUACUGAGACAAGGACCCAGGCCCUAUGGGGCGCAGCAGGCGAGAAAACUUUGCAAUGUGCGAAAGCACGACAAGGUUAAUCCGAGUGAUUUCUGCUAAAGGAAUCUUUUGUUAGUUCUAAAAAUACUAGUGGAUAAGGGGUGGGCAAGUUCUGGUGUCAGCCGCCGCGGUAAAACCAGCACCUCAAGUGGUCAGGAGGAUUAUUGGGCCUAAAGCAUCCGUAGCCUGUUCUAUAAGUUUGCGGUUAAAUCUAUACGCUCAACGUAUAGGCUGCCGUAAAUACUGUAGAACUAGGGAGUGGGAGAGGUAGACGGUACUCGAUAGGAAGGGGUAAAAUCCUUUGAUCUAUUGAUGACCACCUGUGGCGAAGGCGGUCUACCAGAACAUGUUCGACGGUGAGGGAUGAAAGCUGGGGGAGCAAACCGGAUUAGAUACCCGGGUAGUCCCAGCCGUAAACGAUGCAGACUCGAUGAUGCAAUGGCAUAGAGCUAUUGCAGUAUCGCAGGGAAGCCGUUAAGUCUGCCGCCUGGGAAGUACGUACGCAAGUAUGAAACUUAAAGGAAUUGGCGGGGGAGCACCACAAGGGGUGAAGCCUGCGGUUCAAUUGGAAUCAACGCCGGA
This 914-nucleotide ribosomal RNA is filed under the name uncultured archaeon. RNAcentral's name for it is "bacterial SSU rRNA". It matches the Rfam family "Archaeal small subunit ribosomal RNA", at positions 1 to 922 of the family's 1478-position model. The record is from RNAcentral.